UCCCAGACUCCUACGGGAGGCAGCAGUGAGGAAUAUUGGUCAAUGGGCGGAAGCCUGAACCAGCCAAGUCGCGUGAGGGAAGAGGGCCCUGCGGGUCGCAGACCUCUUUGGACGGGGAGCAAGGCCGCCGACGUGUCGGCGGAAGGAGAGUACCCGUAGAACAAGCAUCGGCUAACUCCGUGCCAGCAGCCGCGGUAAUACGUAGGGGGCAAGCGUUAUCCGGAUUUACUGGGUGUAAAGGGAGCGUAGGCGGUGAUGCAAGUCAGAAGUGAAAGCCCGCAGCUCAACUGCGGGACUGCUUUUGAAACUGUAUGACUAGAUUGCAGGAGAGGUAAGUGGAAUUCCUAGUGUAGCGGUGAAAUGCGUAGAUAUUAGGAGGAACACCAGUGGCGAAGGCGGCUUACUGGACUGUAAAUGACGCUGAGGCUCGAAAGCGUGGGGAGCAAACAGGAUUAGAUACCCGUGUA
RNAcentral lists this ribosomal RNA (467 nucleotides) under uncultured bacterium. Its description in RNAcentral is "partial 16S ribosomal RNA". It matches the Rfam family "Bacterial small subunit ribosomal RNA", at positions 329 to 792 of the family's 1533-position model. The record is from RNAcentral.